RNAcentral lists this ribosomal RNA (458 nucleotides) under Lasaea sp. RNAcentral describes it as "partial 16S ribosomal RNA". It matches the Rfam family "Bacterial large subunit ribosomal RNA", at positions 1832 to 2596 of the family's 2925-position model. Lineage: Eukaryota; Metazoa; Mollusca; Bivalvia; Galeommatida; Lasaeidae. The record is from RNAcentral.
UUAGAUAUUAUUGAUUAAGGGUUGGGCCUGCCCGGUGAAUUUUAAACGGCCGCAGUUAGUAGCUGUGCUAAGGUAGCGUAGUAAGUUGUCCUUUAAAUGAGGAAAGGAAUGAAUGGUUUGACGUAAGAAAUUCUGUCUCUUGAGGAAGUAAUGAAAUUUCCUUUCUAGUGCAAAGGCUAGAAUAAAAUUAAAAGACGAGAAGACCCUUUCGAGCUUAAUUAAAUAAUAUACUACCAUAUUAGGAAAAUUUAGUUGGGGCAACUAAGGAGCAAAAGUAGAUUCCUUGAAGUAAUAUGGAUCCAAAAAUUUUGAAAUAGAGAAAAAGCUACCGUAGGGAUAACAGCGUUAUCUUUUCUGAGAGAACAAAUUGAAGGGAAGGUUUGCGACCUCGAUGUUGAAUUAAAAUUUCCGUUGGGCGCAGAAGCUUAAAUGGUAAGACUGUUCGUCUUUUAAAAUUU